RNAcentral lists this ribosomal RNA (522 nucleotides) under uncultured bacterium. RNAcentral describes it as "bacterial SSU rRNA". It matches the Rfam family "Bacterial small subunit ribosomal RNA", at positions 777 to 1297 of the family's 1533-position model. The record is from RNAcentral.
AAUAGAUACCCGGGUAGUCCACGCUGUAAACGGUGUCAACUAGCUGUUGGUCAUAUUGAAAUGAUUAGUGGCGUAGCAAACGCGAUAAGUUGACCGCCUGGGGAGUACGGUCGCAAGAUUAAAACUCAAAGGAAUUGACGGGGGCCCGCACAAGCGGUGGAGCAUGUGGUUUAAUUCGAUGCAACGCGAAGAACCUUACCUACCCUUGACAUACAGUGGAACUUGCAGAGAUGUGAGUGUGCCUUCGGGAACACUGAUACAGGUGCUGCAUGGCUGUCGUCAGCUCGUGUCGUGAGACGUUGGGUUAAGUCCCGUAACGAGCGCAACCCUUAUUAUUAGUUACCAGCACGUGAAGGUGGGGACUCUAAUGAGACUGCCGGUGACAAACCGGAGGAAGGCGGGGACGACGUCAAGUCAUCAUGGCCCUUACGGAUAGGGCUACACACGUGCUACAAUGGGUGAUACAGAGGGCAGCGAAGGGGCGACCUGGAGCGAAUCUUAUAAAGUCACUCGUAGUCCGGA